GCAUGCCUACAACAUAGUGUUAAUGCAUCAGAUAUCAUUAUAAAUCCAUAGUUAAUCAUGCUCAGGAUAGAGUAGUAUUGGGAUGGGUGACCUCCUGGUAAGUCCUAUUAUUUUACAAGCC
Non-coding RNA from Picea glauca (white spruce), 121 nucleotides. Lineage: Eukaryota; Viridiplantae; Streptophyta; Pinopsida; Pinales; Pinaceae. The record is from Rfam.